RNAcentral lists this unclassified non-coding RNA (287 nucleotides) under Sebacina sp. RNAcentral describes it as "partial contains 5.8S ribosomal RNA, internal transcribed spacer 2, and large subunit ribosomal RNA". The stretch from base 1 to 52 matches the Rfam family "5.8S ribosomal RNA", at positions 103 to 154 of the family's 154-position model. Lineage: Eukaryota; Fungi; Basidiomycota; Agaricomycetes; Sebacinales; Sebacinaceae. The record is from RNAcentral.
AACGCAUCUUGCGCUCCUUGGUAUUCCAUGGAGCAUGCCUGUUUGAGUGUCACGUAACCCUCACCCUUGUGAUGUCAAAGUCUCGAGGCGUGGAUUUGGACUGUGCCGUAGCCGGCUCGUCCCGAAAUGCAUUAGCUUGCGCUUUUUAGAGUGCUCGGCUCGGUGUGAUAAUUAUCUUCGCCGUUGCCUUAGGCCUCUUCUGUGGUGCUGCUUCCAAUCGUCCCUCGAGGACAACCAAACUUUUAAGCAUUGACCUCAAAUCAGGUAGGACUACCCGCUGAACUUAA